This 833-nucleotide long non-coding RNA is filed under the name Daucus carota (carrot). RNAcentral's name for it is "long non-coding RNA (DCAR_LNC000840)". The record is from RNAcentral. Lineage: Eukaryota; Viridiplantae; Streptophyta; Magnoliopsida; Apiales; Apiaceae.
AAGCCUCGAGUCUGUAAAAAACCAGAGCUGUUCAGCCUCGCAAGAACAUCAUUCGCCCCCAUUCUUGGCUAACCGAUAAAAAACCUGGUAAUUAAAAACUCACAAAUUAUAAUCAUAAUAGCAAAAUUCAACACAAGCCCUUCUCUAUAUGACACAUUAAUCAUCUACAAACAACAGAUCCCCUACUAUAUAUCAAUUACACUAACAAUUCAAUUCCGCAAACACCUGCGAAAGACAGGACUAGAAUACAACUUAAACAAAGCAAGUUCACAGUCAAUGCAUAGCUAAAAACACUUAUAUGAUCAUGAUCUAAAGCAAGUUCAUAGUCAAAAAAAAAAAAUUAAAAAAAAAUAAAUAAAUGGUCUGAAGCAAUUUUAUAGUCAAUGCAUCAGCAACAUCAUAAAAUUAACAGGUCUACAUCAUACAAGAGCUUGAACUUGAACAUGAAAACUUAAAUGAACAGGAUUGGAAGCAAUUUUAAAGUCAAUGCAUCACCGACGGUUAAGUGAGUUGUCAAUGAAAACAAAAACUCACAGGGGAUGUUCUUGUGUGUGGGCAAAUGUAAUGAGCAAGUGUUUGAUUAUUGAAGUGAAUGAAUAAUAAUGAGGAAAUUAAUAUUUAUAGAGAGAGAGUACCUGAGAGAGAGAGAGAGAGAGAGAGAGAGAGAGAGAGAGAGAGAGAGAUGAUUGAAGAAGUGAAAGAGAAAUAAAGUUUAAAUUAAGAGAGAGGGAGAGAGGGGGAGAGAGAGAGAGAGAGAGAGAGAGAGAGAGAGGGGAUGAGGAUGAAAACGCAUACAAUUCCAAGUUUACAAGUAAGCGUAAAUAGAGAGUGAA